CAGAGAAUAGUUUAAUUUAGAACCCUAGCUUUGGGAGUUAGGGGUGGGAGUUGAAGUCUCUCUUCUUUGA
Molecule: transfer RNA, 70 nt
Filed under: Platycephalus cultellatus
Lineage: Eukaryota; Metazoa; Chordata; Actinopteri; Perciformes; Platycephalidae
Description: tRNA-Pro
Rfam family: tRNA
About the family: Transfer RNA (tRNA) molecules are approximately 80 nucleotides in length. Their secondary structure includes four short double-helical elements and three loops (D, anti-codon, and T loops).
Source: RNAcentral